GAGUCAGCUGGGCAGUCGCUGGUUGCCGAUUUUGACGGUGGCGAGAGGAAAGUCCGGGCUCCAUAGGACAGGGUGCCAGGUAACGCCUGGGGGGCGAAAGCCUACGGAAAGUGCAGCAGAGAGUAGACCGCCGAGUGCAGACACUGCAUCGGUAAGGGUGAAAGGGUGCGGUAAGAGCGCACCGCACGGGUGGUAACAUUCCGUGGCUAGGUAAACCCCACCUGGAGCAAGGCCAAAUAGGAAUUCUUUGACGUGGUCCGCGUUGAAUUCGGGUAGGCCGCUCGAGGCUGCUGGUGACGGUAGCCCUAGAUGAAUGACUGUCCUCGACAAAACCCGGCUUAUAGGCUGACUCA
This 353-nucleotide RNase P RNA is filed under the name marine eukaryotic metagenome. Its description in RNAcentral is "Bacterial RNase P class A". It matches the Rfam family "Bacterial RNase P class A". Rfam says of the family: Ribonuclease P (RNase P) is a ubiquitous endoribonuclease, found in archaea, bacteria and eukarya as well as chloroplasts and mitochondria. The record is from RNAcentral.